GAUCACUCUUCCUCAUCUCCAUAGCCAUAUCCAAAGUCCAGGGUCGACCUGUAGGACACAGAAAAUGGCAUUCCGGUUGGACUUGAUAAUUCUAGUGGCAUCUAUGGUGGGUGCAGCAGCUGCAGCAACCACAUAUACAGUUGGAGACACUACGGGUUGGACAGUUCCUCUUAAUACUUCUUUUUACGAUACUUGGGUUGCAAAUAAGUUGUUUGAGGCAGGAGACUCUCUAGAAUUCAAUUGGACAUCCAGUCACACUGUAUUGCAAGUGACAUCAAAGGCUGAAUAUGAUAAAUGCACAAAAACAAAUGGAAGUAAUCUCCAGCAAACCAGCCCUGCAACUAUUCGAUUGACCGAAAAUGGAACCUUCUACUACAUCUGCACCAUCGGCACUCACUGCGAUUUAGGUCAGAAGGUGACCAUCAAAGUUGGCAAUGGAAGUUCACCAUCAAACUCUGCACCUCUACCUCUCACCAUCAAUGUCUUUUCUCAACUUCUCUCUGCCACUAUCAUGUAUUUCUUGACUGCUCACAUUGUCUAAUGAAUUAGGAUUGUGUGUACAAUUUCUUGUUGUCUUUAGUGUUUUUGUACUAUCUGUUACUGUCAUGGANNNNNNNNUCUUAUAAAUUGUAUUGUGAUGUUUUUUUAAAUGAUAGUUAAUGUUUCGUGAA
This 671-nucleotide unclassified non-coding RNA is filed under the name Hevea brasiliensis (rubber tree). Lineage: Eukaryota; Viridiplantae; Streptophyta; Magnoliopsida; Malpighiales; Euphorbiaceae. The record is from RNAcentral.